ACUGUGACCUCGUUUUUCUUUUAGUGUGUAAGUAAUUGUUUUCAUUUGUUUUUUUGUUACAGGAUUGUGCAUCUACGGACCGGCACUCAAGUGAGACGGGGUGCUCCGAUGGACGGAACCAGACUGCGGAAGGGAUGGCUCAGACUCCUCAGUUCUCAUCCAAAUCCUUCAAAAAAACUUUGGGUUAUGGGUGGUACAGGAGUCCGCUUUCAACAAAAAUAGCUCAAAAAUAAUUUUAUUUUUAUUUUAUUUUUUUAAUGGUGCGGCGGCCCAGUCCUUGUACGUUAAUCUGGGACCGCCAAAAAUUAACCACUUUUAUUAUUUUAGUAAAAAAUAUAUAUUUCCCUGGUUCACCCACAAAAAAUUGAAGCAAAUUAACUUCAGAAAAACAGUUUAAUAGUAUUUAGAUUUCGGUUACAACUUUUCACUAUUUCUUAAUUUUAUUUUAUUUUAACGCAAAUAAAUUUUAUUUCAAUUUAGUUUGGUUUAAUAUUUUUAUUCUAAAAAAACUAGCAGCUUUAGCUCAACCGAUCUGUAUCUUGCUCAACUUUCGAAUGACCCGAGUUCAGCGAGAUGUCAAAAGCCCGAUCUUAAAGGAGAAAAAUAGAGGAAACCACUUUGACAUUUGGCGGAGUACCUCCAAAAAUUGGUACCGCAUGUUAAAUCUAACUGGACAAACAUCACCCGAUUCACAUCUCUCAAUAUAAACCUUAUAUACACUCUUGUAAGUAUUGGUGAGCAUUUCUAUAUCCCCCCUUUCUAUCUUCGAAUUCGAACUUAAUUAUAGGGCACGUUCAGAAAAAGGGAAAUUACCUUGUUGCAACCAUCGACCAAUAGAUGGCUAUUGUAAGGUUAAGGGUGUGACUAUAUUGGCUUAUUGGAGGUUUAAGUUUGGUUUGUACGUAAAACAGCAAGUCUAACCGGUGACAUGAACAUAGACAAAAAGUAUGUAUAGAAUAAUUAAAAGAACUAAUUUGAGCAGCCUUCGGACUCGCUUCUGAGCCGAAAUCGGACUCAGCUCCGCCCGAGUCGGAGCGGAUUCGGACCGAGGUCGGACUUGUUUGCUUGAAGGGUAGGCAUCAAUCGGCCCAUUCAACUCGACCCUCAUGUAACCAUAUAAAGUACGAAGUCUGAACAAUGGUUGAUCGGUGUCAGUCCAUAGACUAUAAUUUAUUAAACAUCAAAUUCGAACAUGGCAAAUUCAACAUGGCAGGUUUUAAGUUAUGCUUCCAGGUGGAGUUUUCAUCGAUGGAUGUCGUCACAAGUGGGUUGCUUAACUUGACUGGAGGCAGUUCGCCAGGCGUCCGCAACAAAAUUUGCUACUUAUUGGGAUAUAUUCCCAAUAAGGAGUAAAAAUAAACGAAGUGAAGUCGGUCGCCUGGAACAUAAAAAAAAACUUGUGGAUGGUUAUGCUCUAGGCGGUCGCAGAAAAAAACUACUAUACUUCCUAUACCGGAAUGCAACGCAGGUAAAGCAUCAUCAAGUGUGACGUUCAGCAUCAACGAAAGGUAAAUACUAUCCGCCAUGGUGUCCAAGUUGGGAUAGUAAAUAAAUUAAAGAACAAAUAAGAACCGAAAAAACUACAAAACAAAACAAAACGGAUAUACCAAAAACAACAGAAAAAUGGGUAUGGAUCAUCGGCAUAAACAGGACCAUAAAAGUGAGUGACUACUGAGUCAUUUACAUUCAUUCAAUUCAGGUACGUACAUCAUUUUGUCUUAUUUUAAGUUGCAUUUGUGGAUUUAAAGUUUUGUUUCUUUUCAUUAUUUUUUUUUAUGCGCUGUGGGGAAAAACCCACGAUUGAAGAAGGGCACAAAAAAAAAAGGUGUCAAGGUAUAGUCAACUUUUUUUUUUUUUUCUUUCCAACACCCAUCCGACGCCGCUUCAGUAAAGGUUGCAUUUAGAGUGAUAUGGGGACAAAAGUCAUCGAUAUUGAAUUGCGAAUCAUAUUUACAACAAAUUUUACUGCACAUAUUAUAACUGGUGAGUGUUUUAAGUAUUUUAUUCACAUAUUCUGGUAUUAGGUGAUAUUAUAUAAGUAAUUUAAACAUGCAAAACAUCUAAUUUAGUAAACAAAUUGUAAUAAAUAUAUAAAUAAAUAAUUGUGGUAAAAAAAAUAAAACUUAAAUCUAGUAUCACAGUUUUGUAAAUAGUCAAGUAACUAAAAAAUAAAAAAAAAUAAGUAUCACAGAUUAGAAAAAAGUAAAAAAGAACUAUCUAAAACUAUCUAAAUAAAAGUAAAUAUCACAGUUUAAGAAAAAUAUAAUUAACUAAACUACAAUUAAACUAAAAUUAAGUAAAUAUCACAGAUUAUAAAAAAAUUAACUAAAUUAUAAGUCUUUAAAAUUCAUUAUCAAAAAUUUAUAAAAUCACAGAUGCUUAAUAGUUUUAUCACAGUACAUAAGUAUAUAAUUUAAAUUCUAAUCAAUACAUAUAACAAAAUAUCGAUAAAUAACAUUAAGUAACAU
This is a long non-coding RNA of Episyrphus balteatus (marmalade hoverfly), 2468 nucleotides long. RefSeq lists it as uncharacterized. The transcript is spliced from 5 exons. NCBI's taxonomy places the organism in Eukaryota, Metazoa, Arthropoda, Insecta, Diptera, Syrphidae. The record is from RefSeq and is a predicted model, not a curated record.